This 827-nucleotide long non-coding RNA is filed under the name Androctonus crassicauda. The record is from RNAcentral. Lineage: Eukaryota; Metazoa; Arthropoda; Arachnida; Scorpiones; Buthidae.
UUUUGGGUUUCCUUCCUUUUUUGUUUUUCAUUUCUUAUUCUAUUGAAUACUGUUGGCAUUCUAUAGACCGCCAGCCUUUUAUUUACUCUUUUUAGGAGGCUUUUUGCUAUGGUAUGUUUUGCCAGUUGGUAUAGCAGUGGUAUGUAUUCUGAGUUUUGCAUUACUUCUCCAUUCAGGCUAUGCUUAUUGGGCACUCCUCGUUGUAAGGCCUGUUUAACUUUCAUCUGUAUGUGCUUCAAGAUGCUGCUCUUGUACCCAUGUUGCUUCCCAACUUCAUAUAUUUAUCUUAACUCUGUAUCUAAGUCCUGCUAUUUAGUAGAGUAUAAGUAUGCCCUUUUAAAAUAACCUCUAAAGGUUGUCUUUUUGUAUGUUAUUGGAUCCGGAGACCAGAAUCAGUAUUAUAUUUGGUUGAUACUAGGGUUUCUUGUAUAAUGCAGUUCUUAACUCACCUUUGCUUAUGUCAAUACUGAUGUCUAGAAAAUGGGCUUCUGAUUGACUCUGUUGUGUUAUAUUAAGCUUCAGCCCAUAUGCUGGCAAGGGCUUUUUGCAGUUCUACGGCUUUUUCUUCAUUUUUCCAUAUUGCUAAUAUAUCAUCUAUGUAUUGAUCAUACAUCCUUAAUAACGACUGAAAUUUCUCAAGGACUAACUGCUCUACUUACCUAAAAAAGAUCUCAGCCAGUGGGCUGACCAUGGGACUUCCAAUUGGGAUUCCUAGUGUCUGUUUAUAAAAGAUUCCUUUGAAGCAGAAGUACAAAUCAUAUGCUGAAAACAUAAGGAUGGGUUGGGAAGGGGCGAGGGUCGUGGAGCCGUUGGUCAGGAAAUUGCAG